This 301-nucleotide ribosomal RNA is filed under the name uncultured bacterium. RNAcentral describes it as "bacterial SSU rRNA". It matches the Rfam family "Bacterial small subunit ribosomal RNA", at positions 28 to 334 of the family's 1533-position model. The record is from RNAcentral.
GACGAACGCUGGCGGCGUGCUUAACACAUGCAAGUCGAGCGGAAAGGCCCUUCGGGUACUCGAGCGGCGAACGGGUGAGUAACACGUGAGUAACCUGCCCCUGGCUUUGGGAUAACCAUCGGAAACGGUGGCUAAUACCGAAUAUUCAUCUCGGCCGGCAUCGGUUGUGGUGGAAAGUUUUCGGUCUGGGGAUGGGCUCGCGGCCUAUCAGCUUGUUGGUGGGGUAAUGGCCUACCAAGGCUUCGACGGGUAGCCGGCCUGAGAGGGCGACCGGCCACACUGGGACUGAGACACGGCCCAG